GAUGAACGCUGGCGGCGUGCCUAAUACAUGCAAGUCGAGCGAACGGACGAGACGCUUGCUUUUCUGAUGUUAGCGGCGGACGGGUGAGUAACACGUGGAUAACCUACCUAUAAGACUGGGAUAACUUCGGGAAACCGGAGCUAAUACCGGAUAAUAUUUUGAACCGCAUGGUUCAAAAGUGAAAGACGGUCUUGCUGUCACUUAUAGAUGGAUCCGCGCUGCAUUAGCUAGUUGGUAAGGUAACGGCUUACCAAGGCGACGAUGCGUAGCCGGCCUGAGAGGACGAUCAGCCACACUGGAACUGAGACACGGCCCAGACUCCUACGGGAGGCAGCAGUGGGGAAUUUUGGGCAAUGGGCGAAAGCCUGAUCCAGCAAUGCCGCGUGUGUGAAGAAGGCCUUCGGAUUGUAAAGCACUUUUGUCCGGAAAGAACACCUUGAUACUAAUACAGUCGCAUGAUGACGGUACCGGAACAAUAAGCCCCGGCUAACUACGUG
RNAcentral lists this ribosomal RNA (497 nucleotides) under uncultured bacterium. RNAcentral describes it as "partial 16S ribosomal RNA". It matches the Rfam family "Bacterial small subunit ribosomal RNA", at positions 28 to 507 of the family's 1533-position model. The record is from RNAcentral.